RNAcentral lists this ribosomal RNA (456 nucleotides) under uncultured Anoxybacillus sp. RNAcentral's name for it is "bacterial SSU rRNA". It matches the Rfam family "Bacterial small subunit ribosomal RNA", at positions 930 to 1382 of the family's 1533-position model. Lineage: Bacteria; Bacillati; Bacillota; Bacilli; Caryophanales; Anoxybacillaceae. The record is from RNAcentral.
CGGUGGAGCAUGUGGUUAAUUCGAAGCAACGCGAAGAACCUUACCAGGUCUUGACAUCCCCUCGACAACCCGAGAGAUCGGCGGUUCCCCUUCCGGGGGACGAGGGUGACAGGUGGUGGCAUGGUUGUCGUCAGCUCGUGUCGUGAGAUGUUGGGUUAAGUCCCGCAACGAGCGCAACCCUCGACCUUAGUUGCCAGCAUUCAGUUGGGCACUCUAAGGUGACUGCCGGCUAAAAGUCGGAGGAAGGUGGGGAUGACGUCAAAUCAUCAUGCCCCUUAUGACCUGGGCUACACACGUGCUACAAUGGGCGGUACAAAGGGUCGCGAACCCGCGAGGGGGAGCCAAUCCCAAAAAGCCGCUCUCAGUUCGGAUUGCAGGCUGCAACUCGCCUGCAUGAAGCCGGAAUCGCUAGUAAUCGCGGAUCAGCAUGCCGCGGUGAAUACGUUCCCGGGCCUU